GUGGAAGAGCUGUACCCUCAUCCUUAAAGUCCCCGUCUUGAGCUCACAUCCCGCUCCCAGAACUCUCUCCAAGUCACAACUACAGUACUACAUAGGGGCGAAGGGCUUUGGACGGCACCUAGAGAAUACAAACCACUCUCAUGAGGACAGAGGACGUUGAAGUGAGGGAGAGAGGUGUAUAGAGCCCAGCCUCUGCCUGAAGGAGCUUCCAGACUGCUGCCCAUCCAACCUGCUCCCUAAUUUCUGGCUCAAGAUUCCUGGGACUGCUGGCUUCACCUUGCUGGGUAAGCAGGGCCAGAAAAUUAGAGGCAAUGAACAUAGAGGAUGGACCCAGGUCACUCAGUAAACUGCUUCAGAACAGACCCUUAGCCUCGUUUUUCCCACUAAGGGAGUGACCUCAGAGGUGAUCAAGACACCAAGCACUAGGGCCCCACCAUGCUGGAGGACAUCAGCCUCUGACAACAGAGCCCUGUGAUCAAGGACACCUUGAACUCCCCAC
This 499-nucleotide long non-coding RNA is filed under the name Heterocephalus glaber (naked mole-rat). Its description in RNAcentral is "lncRNA (ENSHGLG00000048067.1)". The record is from RNAcentral. Lineage: Eukaryota; Metazoa; Chordata; Mammalia; Rodentia; Bathyergidae.